This 474-nucleotide ribosomal RNA is filed under the name uncultured bacterium. RNAcentral's name for it is "bacterial SSU rRNA". It matches the Rfam family "Bacterial small subunit ribosomal RNA", at positions 365 to 830 of the family's 1533-position model. The record is from RNAcentral.
UUCGCAAUGCCCGAAAGGGUGACGAAGCGACGCCGCGUGUGGGAAGAAGGCCUUCGGGUUGUAAACCACUGUCGGGAGUUAAGAAAUGUAAGGGUGUUAAUAGCAUUCUUACUUGACGUUAGCUCCGGAGGAAGCCACGGCUAACUCUGUGCCAGCAGCCGCGGUAAUACAGAGGUGGCAAGCGUUGUUCGGAAUUAUUGGGCGUAAAGAGCACGUGGGCGGCCCUGCAAGUCAGCUGUGAAAUCCUUCUGCUCAACGGAAGAACGGCAGUUGAUACUACAGGGCUCGAGUGCGGGAGGGGAGAGUGGAACUUCUGGUGGAGCGGUGAAAUGCGUAGAUAUCAGAAGGAACAUCGGCGGCGAAAGCGACUCUCUGGCCCGUAACUGACGCUGAGGUGCGAAAGCUAGGGGAGCAAACGGGAUUAGAUACCCCGGUAGUCCUAGCCGUAAACGAUGGGCACUAAGUAGAGGGGUU